Molecule: long non-coding RNA, 202 nt
Filed under: Linum usitatissimum (flax)
Lineage: Eukaryota; Viridiplantae; Streptophyta; Magnoliopsida; Malpighiales; Linaceae
Description: long non-coding RNA (LUSI_LNC000026)
Source: RNAcentral
CUGGUUUUCUGGGGACUACUAACCAGCUAACUACAAUAGAUUUAUGAAUUAGGUUCUCAUAGCUGUGGAUUCCAUACUGUUAAGAACAUCUCUUCUAGGAAGAAGAUUCUAAAUCUCAGAGUUAUCUCUUAACAAGAAGCUUCCUUUAUUGUCAUCCUUUCAUAGAACACCAGCCCCACCCACCAGUAGCUGGGAGAAAAAG